GGGUAAGUAGCUCAGUGGCAGAGCUUUCGACUGCAGAUCGAAUGGUCGCUGGUUCAAUUCCGGCCGUGCCCU
Molecule: transfer RNA, 72 nt
Organism: Rozella allomycis CSF55
Lineage: Eukaryota; Fungi; Rozellomycota
Rfam family: tRNA
About the family: Transfer RNA (tRNA) molecules are approximately 80 nucleotides in length.
Source: Rfam